UGUAGUUACUACUUGGUAGUUUAAAUUUCUGGGUAGAAUUAUGAUGAUGACAUUAUCUAUCUAUAAGUCUUGACCAAAUUACGUGCCAGCAGUCGCGGUAAUACGUAGAAGACAAGUGUUAUUCAUCUUUAUUAGGUUUAAAGAGUACCAAGACGGUUAAUAAAGCCUAUAAUACGUGAACACAGGGGGACACAUUAACUAGAGUUAUAUGAAAGGAAGCACUAAGGUACUGUUGAGUGUAGAGAUAAAAUUCGAUCAUACCAGAUGAAAGGCACAGAUUUAUGCGAAGGCAUCUUCUUAUGUAAUAACUGACGUUGUAGGACGAAGGCUUUUGAAGUGAAGAGGAUUAGAUACCCUUGUAAUCCAGGCAGAAAAUGAUGAAUGUCAUAGGUUUAAUAAAAAUUAAUACAGCAGUAUCUAUUAUAUUAUUGAGUCUAUAAAUGAAAGUGUAAGCAUUCCACCUCAAGAGUAAUUUGGCAACAUUGGAACUGAAAUCAUUAGACCGUUUCUGAAACCAGUAGUGAAGUAUGUUGUUUAAUUAGAUGAUACGCAAAAAACCUUACCACAAUUUGAAUAUAUAUCUUUAAAGAUAUUUACAAGCGUUGCACGGCUGUCUUCAGUUAAUGUCGUGAGAUUUUGGUUAGUUCCAUAAAAUUAACGUAAACCCUCGUUUUAUUUUUAAAUAAAAUU
Molecule: ribosomal RNA, 690 nt
Filed under: Lobaria hallii
Lineage: Eukaryota; Fungi; Ascomycota; Lecanoromycetes; Peltigerales; Lobariaceae
Also listed under: 1 other name
Description: SSU rRNA
Rfam family: Bacterial small subunit ribosomal RNA
Source: RNAcentral